AGAGUUUGAUCAUGGCUCAGAUUGAACGCCGGCGGUAGGCUUAACACAUGCAAGUCGUGCGAGAAAGUAUCUUCGGAUAUGAGUAGAGCGGCGGACGGGUGAGUAACGCGUAGGAAUCUACCUAGUAGAAGGGGAUAGCCCGGGGAAACCCGGAUUAAUACCGUAUACCUCCUUUGGGAGAAAGAAGGCCUCUCUUUGAAGCUUUCGCUACUAGAUGAGCCUGCGUAAGAUUAGCUUGUUGGUGAGGUAAAGGCUCACCAAGGCGACGAUCUUUAACUGGUCUGAGAGGACGAUCAGCCACAUUGGGACUGAGACACGGCCCAGACUCCUACGGGAGGCAGCAGUGGGGAAUAUUGGACAAUGGGCGCAAGCCUGAUCCAGCCAUACCGCGUGUGUGAAGAAGGCCUUCGGGUUGUAAAGCACUUUAAGCAGGGAGAAAAAGUUAUAAGUUAAUACCUUAUAACCCUGAUGUUACCUGCAGAAUAAGCACCGGCUAAUUCCGUGCCAGCCGCCGCGGUAAUAC
This 523-nucleotide ribosomal RNA is filed under the name uncultured bacterium. Its description in RNAcentral is "bacterial SSU rRNA". It matches the Rfam family "Bacterial small subunit ribosomal RNA", at positions 8 to 526 of the family's 1533-position model. The record is from RNAcentral.